CAGAAAAAAAAAAAAAAAAGAUUUUAAGCUGUUAAAUUUUACAAGAGCAAUCUUUAACAGAUCAAUCAUCAACCCAAAAAUAUGGCAUACGAUUGUGUUGCACUUUCAACAACGAUAAAAUCUUAUAGAUGGCUUUCCCACAGAAUCCUUUUCAAGAUGCCUCACAAUGCAGAUAAAUCAAUAAAUGGAAAAUCAGAUCCUUUGAGAGAGAGAGAGAGAGAAUCAA
RNAcentral lists this unclassified non-coding RNA (226 nucleotides) under Hevea brasiliensis (rubber tree). Lineage: Eukaryota; Viridiplantae; Streptophyta; Magnoliopsida; Malpighiales; Euphorbiaceae. The record is from RNAcentral.